GCCUACAUGAAGCUGGAGUUACUAGUAAUCGCAGAUCAGAAUGCUGCGGUGAAUGCGUUCCCGGGUCUUGUACACACCGCCCGUCACACCACGGAAGUUGGGGGCGCCCGAAGCCACUUAGCUAACCCUUUUGGGAAGCGAGUGUCGAAGGUGAAAUCAAUAACUGGGGUGAAGUCGUAACAAGGUACC
Molecule: ribosomal RNA, 189 nt
Filed under: uncultured bacterium
Lineage: Bacteria
Description: partial 16S ribosomal RNA
Rfam family: Bacterial small subunit ribosomal RNA
Source: RNAcentral